This 207-nucleotide ribosomal RNA is filed under the name uncultured bacterium. Its description in RNAcentral is "partial 16S ribosomal RNA". It matches the Rfam family "Bacterial small subunit ribosomal RNA", at positions 568 to 774 of the family's 1533-position model. The record is from RNAcentral.
CUCGUAGGCGGCCAACUAAGUCGGACGUGAAAUCCCUCGGCUUAACCGGGGAACUGCGUCUGAUACUGGGUGGCUUGAGUUUGGGAGAGGGAUGCGGAAUUCCAGGUGUAGCGGUGAAAUGCGUAGAUAUCUGGAGGAACACCGGUGGCGAAGGCGGCAUCCUGGACCAACACUGACGCUGAGGAGUGAAAGCCAGGGGAGCAAACG